RNAcentral lists this long non-coding RNA (232 nucleotides) under Capsicum annuum. RNAcentral's name for it is "long non-coding RNA (CANN_LNC021881)". Lineage: Eukaryota; Viridiplantae; Streptophyta; Magnoliopsida; Solanales; Solanaceae. The record is from RNAcentral.
AAUAUUCUAACUCCAAAAUAUACUUUACUUAGUCCAGUUAUGCGAAACGUCAUAUCCAUCAAGCCUAUACAAUGGUUCCUCGCUAACUUUAGGCAAAUCUUAAACUAUCUCCCAAAUGUCAUGACCAGAUAACCUUGGAGGUGGACCAUCAUGUUCAGCUCUAUUCUUUCUGAAUGCAUUCCUGAGUCUCCUAAACUUAUGAUCAGGUAGCAAGAAACAACUAUGACAAUCA